AAUAGAUGACGCCGUUAAUUUUUUCUCACAAAUUUGACCAUUCGUCUUAUUCAAAAAAUUUACGUAAUUAAAAUUUAUUUUGUUAUGAGUUGUUUUAUCACUCAUAAUAUUUUAAGUGUGAUUUAUAUAUUAUAUAUUUGCAUAAAAUUUUUGAAUAAGACGAAUGGUUAAACAUGUAAGAAAAAACAACGGCGUCAUCUAUU
RNAcentral lists this microRNA precursor (203 nucleotides) under Oryza glumipatula. RNAcentral describes it as "MIR812 microRNA precursor family". It matches the Rfam family "MIR812 microRNA precursor family". Lineage: Eukaryota; Viridiplantae; Streptophyta; Magnoliopsida; Poales; Poaceae. The record is from Rfam by way of RNAcentral.